GUGUACUUAGCUCAGUAUUUAGAGUGUCCGCCUAGUGUUUGGAGGUUGCAGGUUCAAAUCCUGCAGUGUGCA
Molecule: transfer RNA, 72 nt
Filed under: Cronartium ribicola 11-2
Lineage: Eukaryota; Fungi; Basidiomycota; Pucciniomycetes; Pucciniales; Coleosporiaceae
Description: tRNA-Thr (AGT) (tRNA-Thr-AGT-91-1)
Rfam family: tRNA
About the family: Transfer RNA (tRNA) molecules are approximately 80 nucleotides in length.
Source: RNAcentral